CAAUUCUGAACCUGAGCUUAACUGAGAGGAACCAUGAAGACAUCCAUGGGAGCUUUAAUCAUGUUCUCGUGUCUGCAGCUGAACUGGUUCAGCCAGGGAGAGAAUGUGGAGCAGCAUCCUUCUACCCUGAGUGUCCAGGAGGGAAGCAGCUCUGUUAUCAACUGCAGUUAUUCAGACAGUACCUCAAGUUACCUCCCUUGGUAUAAGCAAGAACUUGGAAAAGGUCCCCAGCUCCUUAUAGACAUUUUUUCAAGCAUGACCACAAAAGAAGACCAAAGACUCACUGUUUCAUUGAAUAAGACGGCCAAACAUCUCUCCCUGCACAUCAGAGACACCCAUUCUGAAGACUCAGCUGUGUACUUCUGUGCAGCAAGCACACAUUGCUUCCCAGGCACCUGCUGCCUGCACUCAAACCUGGGACUGAGGCAUCCCCGUGUCCUUUAACACAGACCUUCAAGGAUAGCUUUUGUGCUGUUGUUCGUCUGUAGGUGGAAUCUAAUAUGUUAGACAUUAAAAGAAUGUAGUAAGACUAUUAGGAUGGAGAUGACCCAGACUUGUUUAGAAAAUUUUGGUGGAUGACUGUUUUUUAAUGUAUCUUGAAUGGACUUAGUAAUGUUUUAUUUUGAAAUUCAGGUAUUAAAAAUGUCUUUACAUUUGCUAUUCAGACCCCUCUCCUAGAAAGAACCAGUAAUACAGUCCUUAUUAUGGAUGGGCACUUAAUAUUGUGUUUCAUAGGUGGCAUUUAUUAUUUUUCUGAUUCUAAAACAUUACAUGCCAAAUAUAGAAAUAUGGAAAGUAGAAAUAUGAAAAUGAUAAUUCCGUAAUCAGAUAAUAUUGCUAAUAUUCCCUUUAGUCUCUACAAUAUUUAUUAGAAUUACAUUCACGAUUUUUUCACUUUAUGUAUUUUGAUCUGAGCAUU
Mustela lutreola (European mink) is the source of this 919-nucleotide non-coding RNA. NCBI's taxonomy places the organism in Eukaryota, Metazoa, Chordata, Mammalia, Carnivora, Mustelidae. The record is from the annotation of a RefSeq genome assembly.